GGAUUUAUGGGGUCUGUGGGUCACUCUCUGGGAUCUAUGGGGUCUGUGGGUCUCUAUGGGGCACCGUGUGUUCCUAUGGGAUCUGUGGGUCUCUAUGGGGUCUCUAUGGGGUCUGUAUGGGGCGCUGCGUGUUCCUAUGGGAUUUAUGGGAUCUGUGGGUCGCUCUCUGGGAUCUAUGGGGUCUGUGGGUCUCUAUGGGGCGCCAUGUGUUUCUAUGGGGUGUGU
RNAcentral lists this long non-coding RNA (225 nucleotides) under Phasianus colchicus (ring-necked pheasant). RNAcentral's name for it is "lncRNA (ENSPCLG00000017522.1)". The record is from RNAcentral. Lineage: Eukaryota; Metazoa; Chordata; Aves; Galliformes; Phasianidae.